GCUCUGAUCUAUUAUUUGAAUUGCAAAUUCAAAGAAGCAGUUUCAAACGCUGCCGGGGCUU
Molecule: transfer RNA, 61 nt
Filed under: Zaedyus pichiy
Lineage: Eukaryota; Metazoa; Chordata; Mammalia; Cingulata; Chlamyphoridae
Description: tRNA-Cys
Source: RNAcentral